AAAAAUACCUCUAUUUUGAGGGCCAAGUUACCUAUGCAUCGUUUUUGGAAAGUGCUUCCAAGAAGUUCAGCAUCCCAACCUUGGACUUAAGAGUCUUUGAUGACACAGACUGAGGUUGAUGAAGAAGUCUUUGAUUUCCUCGUGAAAAAACAAAACCUAGGUGUGCUCGAGAAGGUCCAAAUUCAGAUGAUUGCCUGAGUUCCCCUGCAAGCAGCUCCUUUACCAGCUCCAGUGGGGAUAUUGAUGGGGACUCUGAUGACACUGUAAUAUUGCAGUGCAGUCCUGCCACAAGACGGAGAGCUGAAAACCUCUCUUGCCAAAAUGAUUGAAGAUGUUCUAAAGAACAAACCUGGCGGAGAGAGGAUCAUCAAUGAGUAUGCUCGGACAAAAGGUAUUAACAGACGGCAGGCGGAGCGACAUGGUCAAGAUAUUGGUUGCACAAAUAACAAGUGAACAUGGUGCUCAUAGUUUGUGUGUAUAUGUGUAGGACAAGUCCUUCAAGGCGUGUCAAAGAGGACCACGCAAAGGGGAUCAUCAAC
Pseudoliparis swirei is the source of this 539-nucleotide long non-coding RNA. RefSeq lists it as uncharacterized. The transcript is spliced from 5 exons. NCBI's taxonomy places the organism in Eukaryota, Metazoa, Chordata, Actinopteri, Perciformes, Liparidae. The record is from RefSeq and is a predicted model, not a curated record.